ACCUGAAACUAAUAUAAUAUUGUAUAUCAACUAUAAUCGAAAACAUUUUUUAAUGUAAUAAGUAUUAACUAUAUUUUUUAUAAUUUCCUCAAAAAAAUGAUGCAAGGUUUGUAUCAGCUAAUGUGUAAAAAAGUCUAGCAUAAAAUCUGGCUCAAAAUAGGUGUUCAAUAAAUGCCAGUUUGCUUCAUUUCAUUUCCCCUUCUUAAAGAUUUUGUCUCAGUCCUCAAACACAGAUCAUCAAAGGUGAUCUUGUAAUCUCCAUGAGAUCUCUCUGAAAAAUAAAGAGUACAGUAUUAAUGGAAGCUAUUAUCAUAAGGAGAAAACCUUUUUUUAAUUGGAACAACAACCACGUGUGGAAGUAGAAAACAGAGCCCUAAAGGUUUUUCCAAGGUCUGUAUUUUUAAAAACAAACUUUCAUUUCUCCUUCUAUGUACAGAUAAAACAACUCUUACAGACGACAGAGGAAUGUUUAAAUAAUUUCUAUAAAAAAAUCAUAUGGAAUCUUUAAAAAUAUUACUAGCUUCAAAGUAAGAUUACAAUUUCCCUAAGUAGAUUUUAGAAGAAAUUUCAAAUUGUCCCAAGUGAACAUGGGUUCCUAUUUUACCAACCAAAGAAAAUCUCAGUGGAAUAGAGCAUAUCAGGAAACAAAAACAUUAACCUCUCAUUCAUUUCUACACUGCAAUUUUUAUUUUACUUUGAAAUAGCUAAAAUAGACUUGUUUUAUUAAAUUAAAAUUUUAAGGAAUUAUUUUAGUUCCAAAUUAAGAAAUGAACAAUAAAAUUCAUAGCUUACCCAAGAGGGAAAAACCAUAUGCAACAAGUUAAACUAGUUCUUUUAAAGUUACAACUUCAAUACAAGUUUGUUGGGCAUGCAUCAUAAAACAGUGGAGAUAUACUAGGGAAAUUCCCAAAAGUAUACAACCACAGCAUAAAACUUCCUCCCCUCCACACCCCAUUUAUAUUAGGAACCAUCACUCUUUUAAACCUCUUCACUUGCUCUCCUUGCCACCAGCACUGGUAAAUGACAUUCUUUUCCAAACUAUUUUCACUAAGCAUCUGACGUUUUUCUCUCUUCAAUAUGGCUACUGCCUAUGACCAGAGAGCAAAGUUGUAUUUAGAUAUGAAUGCUGAUGGUUGGCAAGGCUCACUGAUUAGUUAAGUGGCUUGCUCUGACACCGUAGCUUCCAGCAUAUCUUUCCAAAUUCCAAGAAUUCAAUUUGAUUUUUAAAUUUUCUGAAAAUUACUCACAAAGGAACUCUAAAUUACAAUUUUUUUCCCUUCUAACAUUUCCUAUUCUUGUUUCAUAAUGGUCUAUACAGAGGUCCUUACCCCUGACUUUGUGUCAGAAUCAGUUGUAGAGCUUUAUGAAACUACAGAUGACUGAGCCUUACUAAUUCAGCAAGCUCCUUACAACAAACAUCCUCAUUUAAUCCAGAUGCCAUUUUUCCCCCAAUGCCAAAACAACCCAAAAUCAAAUCAAAUCAUAUUUCCUCUUAUUAUGCUUUUGUGAUGGGAGAAAGGCCAUGUAAACAAACUAAUACUAUGAUUCAUUCAUAAAUGAAACUUCCAAGGUCUUACCAGGUAAUACAGGUUCUGCCUGAUACCCAACGAUUACCUCAUACAGCAACAUACUCUACAAGGACAAGGCCCAUCUUAACUCUCUUCUCCAAAAAUCUUCAUACAAGCACAAAAUAAAGAUCUUUCUCUCUUGCCCUGUAGUCACUGUUAAACACUCAUUUAUGCAACAAAUAUUUACUAAAUAUCUAUUAUGGUGCAUUAUUCUAACCAAUGGGGGUAAAAGCAAUUAACAGAAUACAGUCUCUAACUUCAUAAAACCUACAUUUUAAUUUUGCAAGACAUGUGAUAAAUUACUUGUGUAUAUUUGCCACAUAGUGAUAUGUGACAAGGAAAACAAAAAGGAAGAAAUAAGAAGACUGAUCAUGAGGAGGUCUUCCCUGGGUCAAGGAAGGCCUCUAUAUAACAUUUAGAAGACAUCUGAGCAGAAUUUUAAAAGAAAUAAGAGAAGAAAUGAGUCAUGCAGGUAGCUGGGAGAAAAAAUUCUGAAGUCUUUUGCAUAUGAUCCCUUAUAGGACCUAGCUUUUUAUGUCCAAAAACACUUUUAUGAACAAAGAAGAUAAUUUGAAACAAUACUCUGAGACAACUACAUUAUCAGAAGCAGAAAUAUUAACAGAAAUAAGAAUGCACACUAAGCAAAAGAGAUCCUUUCAGUUAAGGCCUGUUGGCUUGUAGCUCUUCAGUCCUCCAAUCGCACAAGGCACUAUGUCUGCCUCUGUGAAAACUGUCUUUUAACUGUCCAAAAUGGUAACCAUUCACAUGUAGCUAUUUGAAUUUGAAUUUAAGUUAAUUAAAACUAAAUAUUCAGUUCCUCAAUCACACUAGCCAUAUUUCAACUGUACAAUAGCCACAUGUGGCUAAUGGCUAAAAUAUUGGACAGAGCAGAUACAGAACAUUUCCAUCAUCUCAGAAAGUUGUACUGUGCAGUACAAAUGGUAAGCUUCAGUAAAUCACAAAUGUUAUCACCAUGCUAUGCUAACUUCUCUUACCACUUUUCUAGGAAAGGAAAAUUCUGCCUUUUAGACUUUUAACUAACAAUAUAAAUCAUAAGGCAAAAGUCCAAAAAUAGACUAAUGAUGAACAAUAUUUUAAGUACUCCCAACCUAGAUGUUUUUCUUACAGUUCACAUUAACAUAUGAAGACAGAAGAGAGAAGCAGCACCAGCAAGUCACAGACCUAGCAACACCUGAUUGCAAAGCAAGAGGAUACGCCCAACUUUCUACCCCACAACCUCAUUUUUCCUACUCCUUCACCUAUAUCUUAAGAAAGAGGGGUAAACUUCUAGUAAUGCCCUUCAAACUAUUUAUGUAAACAAAUAGCAUCAAAAGCCACAAUUUUUUAAUGAUGUAGUUUCUCAAAUUAUUAAAAUGGUGUACAAAUCACAACAACAACAAAACCCACAAAAACCACUUCAGGCAAAACCCACAAAAACACAAAUAUCUCUUCUUUAAACUAAACUCCUAUAUAAGCCAUUAUGACAUUAAAUUCAUCCCCACCUUUUCUCUGGACAAAUUAUAGACAAGACACAUUUUGCAGACAUUUUGACCAACUUAUGACUAAUUACUGUUUCAGAAAACAGUAAUGUGGGAAAAAAGAUGGGCCAAAUAUGCAACAAAAUUAAAUUUUAGGUAACAACUAGACUAGAACAAGCCAAGCAAAUCCACUACAGAAACUGAAAUUUUUUGCAAACUAAUGUAUAAACCGGGUUUCCUUUGAAAAAUUAAGGCAAAAACAUACUUCAUUAUUUUGAAAUUGAAGUUUCAAAUUUAAAAAAAAAAUUCCAUUUCCUACAGUUUACUACAAAUAAGUAUGGUAUAAUUAACAAAGUACUAGCUUAAAAACUGAAUGUUCCUGGAAUAAUUUAAGUUAACCAGCCAAGCAACACUUGACUAGAAGGUAUCAGAGUAUGCCCAGCUUUUCCUUAUGGGAGGGAGGGGAAAGCUGAGAAGCUUACAGUCAAAAGAGCCAACUACUGUAACAACUGAGGAAGCAGAAGCAAUUUUGAAAAAAUAAAUACUAACUAUACUUUUGGUUAGUAAUAUUUUCUUAGUUGUCAAUGUAAGAGAACAAUAAAAACACAUUAUUUCAUUUAGUAAUUUUCACAUUUCUUCUACAUAUAUCUAUACCUAUUCCAAUAAGUGUUUUAGCAUUUUGACUUUAGCAAUGAACUUAUAUGUUUUGCCUCAUUAGUACUACCAAAAAAAGUUGUUUAGGACGCUUAAUCAAUAAUUCUUAUUCUAUGAACAGUUAAAUUGUGGUACACCCAUAUAACAGAAUUCUACUUAACAAUAACGAGAAACAGACUUUUGAUACACCCAACCUGGAUGAAUCUCAAGGAAAUUAUGCUGCAUAAAAAAGGCCAAUCCUAGAAAGUUGAAUACCGUGUAAUUCUGUUUAGUAACCAAUCUUGAAAUGACAAACCUGUAGGGAGAGAGAACGCAUUAGUAGUGGUUGCCAAAGUUUGGGAUUAGAAAAGGGAGGAUGAGAGGAGGGUGUGGUUCUAAUAGGACUGUUCUGUAUAUUGACUGUGGUGGUAGUUACGUAAUCUACACAUGUGAUAACAUUGCAUAGAACGAAUAUACAAAUCAGUACACAUAAAAUGGAGAAAUCUGAAUAAGAUUCAAAUUAUCGAUGUCAUGAUAGUGAACUAUAGUUUGCAAGGCAAUGGCACUGGGAAACUGGGUAAUGGGUACAAGGGAUCUCAACAGUAUUAUUUGUUAAAACUCCAUGUGACCCUAUGGCUAUCUCAAAAUAGAACGUUUGAUAUUUUAAAAAGUGCUACCCUAACGAUUUGGGAGAAUCUGAAUAUGAACUGGAUAUCAGACAAUAUUAGGGAAUGAUUGUUAAUGUGUUAUAUAGGACAAUGUCCUUAUUCUGAGGAGAUGCUCACUGAAGCAUUUAGGGAUGAAGUAUCAUAUUUGCAACUUACUUCAAACUUUUUAAUAUAUAUGGAGAGAAACCAAAUCUGGCAAAAUGUUAAAUAUUAAGUCUAGGUAAAGGGUAUAUGAAUGCUCCUGUCCUCUUCUCUCAACUUUCCAGCUUGAAUUUUUUUCAAAAUAAGGACUUGGGGAAGAAGAUUAAAAACAAAUUGCUACCCUAAAACUAUGUUACAGUAGAACCUACACACCAAUUAGUCUUUUAAAAGGUUUCAAAAUAAAUAAAUUUUCUGGUAAAACUAUGCUAUAGUCCCACCUACACUCCAAUUAGUCUUAAAAUAAAAAUGGCAAUAAGGACUUCAAAGAAACUAAGUGUUAGGACAUGGUUUUGGAUGCGACUUUCUGAUGUUUUUCAACAUAAACUAAUUACAUCUGUAGGACAUGUGGAUAUUUUUAAAAAAUCACAGUCAGUUCAAUAUGGAUUACUCUUUCUUACUUCUAGAAAAACUGGAUCCACAAGAGUUGUUCUACUCUUCAAAAAGUGAAAUUAAUUUAAAUUGCAAGAGAAAAGUCUAACACUUUCAUACACGCAUUCCAAAUUUUAAGCCUUAAGUUUGGCAAAUACACUUAAUUCUGUCACAAAGAAAUGUUUGUAUGAAAGGGGCAACCCACACACUAAAUGCCAAACAAAAAUGUGCUACAAUGUAUUAACUAUGGCGCCAAGACUACAAGACAUUUUAACAAUGUAAACAGUCCCUCCAAACAUCAAUGCAAACUGCACACAUCUGAAAUGUAGGUAAUAAGUUUGAGCUAGUGUCAAAAGGAUCCAUCCCAAAAGUUCUUACAUUCCCUUUACUCUGCUGCUAAAUUUUUCCAUAGGUGUUACAUUUCAAUCUAUAAGAAAAUCUGUGUCUAGAACGUCUGAACUAAAAGCUCUUAACUUUUCGCUUCCUACCAGACCGGCCCCACGCAAUGGACCCCACCUCCCAAGGAGGGUGAUGGGGUGAGGCUGUUUCCCGCUCACGAACUAAGAAAGAAAUGUCCCUUUCCUACUCCAGGAAAAAGAGAAGCCAAAAAGCUGCAGACUCGAAUAUGCAACUGACUACAAGGAGAUUGGCCUUUCAUUCAUUGGAUCGACUGGCCAGUACUGUGUGAUCAUUGCUUGAGCCCGAAGUGCUAAACUAAAAUGCAGGUGUUCAAGAAGCGCUGCGUUUGAUCCUAAUUAAGUAGCAGAGGUCGAGGGGGAAUUAAGGCUUCACUCCAGUGCGGACGUGUUAACAGAUAUGGAGAGGAGGGGGCUUAAUGAAGUGGAAAAGAGCUAGCCAAGAUAUCGGUGAUUUAGUUUAUUCCUUAAGAUGCGCCUGGAAAGGCAGCCAGAUCCAAAGUCAUUUUGCACUGCCAAAGAAUCAUCUGAAGGGUAAAGUUUUUUUAAUUUCGUUGUUGAAACCGUAAAAUGCUACCAGGGUUGACUAAGUCACCUUGGAGUAGUAGAGAGUUAAGGAUACUGAUUCCCCUCGAACUAGCUUCAAGCUAGUGCUUAACAUUGGCUCGUUGAACUCGCCAUCACGGGAAAUCCUCAAAUCUUAGGAGCCGAAGAGGACCUGGCAAGGAUACUAAGAGCUGCUGCAAUAGGCAAGGUCAGACUAGAUACUGACUAGGGCCUCUCACAUAUGUGUCAUUUCAUUAAUAAUCGACAGUAAAGCUUAAGUUUUAAACGUGGCAUUCCAUCGAUAAUCUACAAUUUUUCACGUUAUACGAGCUAUUUUUACCCUUGAUUAUUUUUUCUCUCCAGAUCCUGAAUUCCAUCCAUAGCAUUCUUUGCAUCAUUAAUCAUUAAAUAAUAUGUGCAGUAGCUUUGCUCUUUUAAGUUAUUUAUCCAGAUAUUUUACCAUUUUCAAAUGUUCUUCCCUAACCCUCCUUGAAAGGUGAGUGCUAAGUAAGAUGUUUCCCAGUGGAAAUAUCUGGGACUAAAGCUUGGGCUUUCCAGCUCCUAUCUCAAAUGCCCUCUCCUUUUGCCUGAGUCAUAAAUAAGGUUUUAGGAGUCAAACCCUGGAAUACGCUUAAUUUCUGUGUGCUCUCUUCAAAAGUUUCAUUAAUAUCUAUAGGAAACCAUGUUUUAGUUUGGGACUAUGGCCAUUUUUUUAAUGUCAAAAAAAUAAAACUAAGAACAAACUUAGAAUUCAUAAAAACACUUGCUAUUUUGUAAUAACCUUUGAACGAGAGAUCUUUCAACUAUCUGAACUAUUAAAAGGUGGAAAAAUCGCUUAACUUCAGGUGAUAAUUUUAGCUACUAACUUGGGUUUCCAAAUCUCUAGCUUCAUAUCCAAAAGUCUCUACAGCAAUAUUAUUUGCUAUGAUUUCCUAAAUUUCUCCUGUAAGUAAUAUACUAUUUUCUCCUUAAGGGAAGAAAAUUUCUGGUCUUUGAAACAAACUAGUUCCCACCGGAAGCUAAGUACCUAAAUAGAUGAGCCAGCUAUAUAGUUUGGCAAGUGUUAUAUUCUUUUGGUUGAUGACAAAUAAAUAGCAAUCUUUAAGACUCAGUAAAAUCUAGUCUGAGUCAACAUUUAUCUGAGUCAGAUCCUAGUUAAAAUGCACCUACAGAUAACAGACCACACAGUGACUUAUGACCCGAACUCAAUAAUAAAAUAUUUACUCUGAAAGCGCACCCCUAUGUGACAAAUGAAGAUCCCAUUUAUGCUGUGAAUGACAGCUAUGCAGGAAGUUAACACACCCAAAGCUAGAUGACAAUGAUAAUGAUGAUGAUGGUGAUGAUGAUAAUGACCAUGGUUAGUUCGUUCACUUUGCCCCAUGUUAUUUGCACCCCUGCUGUCAUGUCACUGUACCCCAUGUAUCCCUAUUAUCCCAUAUCCCAUGUAUGCCCUUCCAAAAAAAGUAACCAAAAAUAAAUAAUUUAUCUCACAAAAUUUAAUUUUACAAAAGGGAUAUGUAGAGUGAAAUUUCUCCAUCUUCACAUAUGUAACAUGUUCUCUAUUAACAUUUUUAUGUCUUCAUUAUUAAGUAUUUAAAAUGUAUGGAAAUAUGACAGAAAAAUCUAUGUAUUUGCCACCCAGAUUUAACAAAUGCUACCAUUUUGUAAUUGCCUCUGAUUGUGUUUUAAAUAAUAACUUGCAGCUACAUCAGGCACUGCAUCUUUCUCCAGAUCCUGGAUUCGAUGUAUAAUAGUCUCAUGCGUCAUAAAUCAAUAAACAUAUGCAGUGCUUUUACAUUUUA
Long non-coding RNA from Pteropus alecto (black flying fox), 7681 nucleotides. RefSeq lists it as uncharacterized. Lineage: Eukaryota; Metazoa; Chordata; Mammalia; Chiroptera; Pteropodidae. The record is from RefSeq and is a predicted model, not a curated record. The transcript is spliced from 2 exons.